UGGGGAAUAUUGCACAAUGGGCGCAAGCCUGAUGCAGCCAUGCCGCGUGUAUGAAGAAGGCCUUCGGGUUGUAAAGUAAUUUCAGCGGGGAGGAAGGGAGUAAAGUUAAUACCUUUGCUCAUUGACGUUACCCGCAGAAGAAGCACCGGCUAACUCCGUGCCAGCAGCCGCGGUAAUACGGAGGGUGCAAGCGUUAAUCGGAAUUACUGGGCGUAAAGCGCACGCAGGCGGUUUGUUAAGUCAGAUGUGAAAUCCCCGGGCUCAACCUGGGAACUGCAUCGGAUACUGGCAAGCUGGAGUCUCGUAGAGGGGGGUAGAAUUCCAGGUGUAGCGGUGAAAUGCGUAGAGAUCUGGAGGAAUACCGGUGGCGAAGGCGGCCCCCUGGACGAAGACUGACGCUCAGGUGCGAAAGCGUGGGGAGCAAACAGG
This 429-nucleotide ribosomal RNA is filed under the name Chloroflexota bacterium. Its description in RNAcentral is "Chloroflexi bacterium partial 16S ribosomal RNA". It matches the Rfam family "Bacterial small subunit ribosomal RNA", at positions 355 to 776 of the family's 1533-position model. Lineage: Bacteria; Bacillati; Chloroflexota. The record is from RNAcentral.